GAACGCUAGCUACAGGCUUAACACAUGCAAGUCGAGGGGCAGCAUCAUCAAAGCUUGCUUUGAUGGAUGGCGACCGGCGCACGGGUGAGUAACACGUAUCCAACCUGCCGACAACACUGGGAUAGCCUUUCGAAAGAAAGAUUAAUACCGGAUGGCAUAGUUUUCCCGCAUGGGAUAAUUAUUAAAGAAUUUCGGUUGUCGAUGGGGAUGCGUUCCAUUAGGCAGUUGGCGGGGUAACGGCCCACCAAACCAACGAUGGAUAGGGGUUCUGAGAGGAAGGUCCCCCACAUUGGAACUGAGACACGGUCCAAACUCCUACGGGAGGCAGCAGUGAGGAAUAUUGGUCAAUGGACGAGAGUCUGAACCAGCCAAGUAGCGUGAAGGAUGACUGCCCUAUGGGUUGUAAACUUCUUUUAUACGGGAAUAAAGUGAGCCACGUGUGGCUUUUUGUAUGUACCGUAUGAAUAAGGAUCGGCUAACUCCGUGCCAGCAGCCGCGGUAAUACGGAGGAUCCGAGCGUUAUCCGGAUUUAUUGGGUUUAAAGGGAGCGUAGGCGGGUUGUUAAGUCAGUUGUGAAAGUUUGCGGCUCAACCGUAAAAUUGCAGUUGAUACUGGCGACCUUGAGUGCAACAGAGGUAGGCGGAAUUCGUGGUGUAGCGGUGAAAUGCUUAGAUAUCACGAAGAACUCCGAUUGCGAAGGCAGCUUACUGGAUUGUAACUGACGCUGAUGCUCGAAAGUGUGGGUAUCAAACAGGAUUAGAUACCCUGGUAGUCCACACAGUAAACGAUGAAUACUCGCUGUUGGCGAUAUACGGUCAGCGGCCAAGCGAAAGCAUUAAGUAUUCCACCUGGGGAGUACGCCGGCAACGGUGAAACUCAAAGGAAUUGACGGGGGCCCGCACAAGCGGAGGAACAUGUGGUUUAAUUCGAUGAUACGCGAGGAACCUUACCCGGGCUUAAAUUGCAACUGACGGAACCGGAAACGGUUCUUUCUUCGGACAGUUGUGAAGGUGCUGCAUGGUUGUCGUCAGCUCGUGCCGUGAGGUGUCGGCUUAAGUGCCAUAACGAGCGCAACCCUUACGGGUAGUUACCAUCAGGUUAUGCUGGGGACUCUACCCGGACUGCCGUCGUAAGAUGUGAGGAAGGUGGGGAUGACGUCAAAUCAGCACGGCCCUUACGUCCGGGGCUACACACGUGUUACAAUGGGGGGUACAGAAGGCAGCUACACGGCGACGUGGUGCUAAUCCCAAAAGCCUCUCUCAGUUCGGAUUGGAGUCUGCAACCCGACUCCAUGAAGCUGGAUUCGCUAGUAAUCGCGCAUCAGCCACGGCGCGGUGAAUACGUUCCCGGGCCUUGUACACACCGCCCGUCAAGCCAUGAAAGCCGGGGGUACCUGAAGUACGUAACCGCGAGGAGCGUCCUAGGGUAAAACUGGUGAUAGG
Molecule: ribosomal RNA, 1442 nt
Filed under: uncultured organism
Description: SSU rRNA
Rfam family: Bacterial small subunit ribosomal RNA
Source: RNAcentral